Molecule: ribosomal RNA, 853 nt
Filed under: uncultured bacterium
Lineage: Bacteria
Description: bacterial SSU rRNA
Rfam family: Bacterial small subunit ribosomal RNA
Source: RNAcentral
CUUAACACAUGCAGUCGAGCGAUGAAGCACCUUCGGGUGUGAAUUAGCGGCGAACGGGUGAGGAACACGUGAGAAAUCUGCCUUCAACACUGGGAUAACUCCGGGAAACCGGGGCUAAUACCGGAUAUGAAACCUGCGGGCAUCCGCGGGUUUGGAAAGUUUUUCGGUUGAAGAUGAUCUCGCGGCCUAUCAGCUUGUUGGUGAGGUAAUGGCUCACCAAGGCGACGACGGGUAGCCGGCCUGAGAGGGCGACCGGCCACACUGGGACUGAGACACGGCCCAGACUCCUACGGGAGGCAGCAGUGGGGAAUAUUGGGCAAUGGAGGAAACUCUGACCCAGCGACGCCGCGUGCGGGAUGAAGGCCUUCGGGUUGUAAACCGCUUUCAGCAGGGAAGAAGCGAAAGUGACGGUACCUGCAGAAGAAGCACCGGCUAACUAUGUGCCAGCAGCCGCGGUAAUACAUAGGGUGCAAGCGUUGUCCGGAAUUAUUGGGCGUAAAGAGCUCGUAGGUGGUUCGUCACGUCGGAUGUGAAACUCUGGGGCUUAACCCCAGACCUGCAUUCGAUACGGGCGAGCUUGAGUAUGGUAGGGGAGUCUGGAAUUCCUGGUGUAGCGGUGGAAUGCGCAGAUAUCAGGAGGAACACCAAUGGCGAAGGCAGGACUCUGGGCCAUUACUGACACUGAGGAGCGAAAGCGUGGGGAGCGAACAGGAUUAGAUACCCUGGUAGUCCACGCCGUAAACGGUGGGCACUAGUUGUGGGGACCUUCCACGGUCUCUGCGUCGCAGCUAACGCAUUAAGUGCCCCGCCUGGGGAGUACGAUCGCAAGAUUAAAACUCAAAGGAAUUGACGG